This 30-nucleotide non-coding RNA is filed under the name Rattus norvegicus (Norway rat). Lineage: Eukaryota; Metazoa; Chordata; Mammalia; Rodentia; Muridae. The record is from RNAcentral.
UUCAAAGCCCAGGUAGCUGGUUUUUGACAC